This 464-nucleotide ribosomal RNA is filed under the name uncultured bacterium. RNAcentral's name for it is "partial 16S ribosomal RNA". It matches the Rfam family "Bacterial small subunit ribosomal RNA", at positions 28 to 506 of the family's 1533-position model. The record is from RNAcentral.
GACGAACGCUGGCGGCGUGCUUAACACAUGCAAGUCGUACGGUAAGGCCCUUUCGGGGGUACACGAGUGGCGCACGGGUGAGUAACACGUGAGUAACCUGCCCACAACUUUGGGAUAACGCUAGGAAACUGGUGCUAAUACUGGAUAUGUGCUCCUGCUGCAUGGUGGGGGUUGGAAAGCUCCGGCGGUUGUGGAUGGACUCGCGGCUUAUCAGCUUGUUGGUGGGGUAGUGGCCUACCAAGGCGGCGACGGGUAGCCGGCCUGAGAGGGUGACCGGCCACAUUGGGACUGAGAUACGGCCCAGACUCCUACGGGAGGCAGCAGUGGGGAAUAUUGCACAAUGGGCGCAAGCCUGAUGCAGCAACGCCGCGUGCGGGAUGACGGCCUUCGGGUUGUAAACCGCUUUCAGCAGGGACGAAGCUUUUUGGGACGGUACCUGCAGAAGAAGCACCGGCUAACUACGU